This 348-nucleotide ribosomal RNA is filed under the name uncultured bacterium. RNAcentral's name for it is "bacterial SSU rRNA". It matches the Rfam family "Bacterial small subunit ribosomal RNA", at positions 8 to 375 of the family's 1533-position model. The record is from RNAcentral.
AGAGUUUGAUCAUGGCUCAGGACGAACGCUGGCGGCGUGGAUAAGGCAUGCAAGUCAAACGGGUCUGACGCAAGUCGGACCAGUGGCAAACGGGGUAGUAACACGUGGGUACGUACCUUGAAGUCGGGCAUAACCAGCCGAAAGGUUGGAUAAUUUCCGAUAGUUCCCGUAAGGGUAAAGUCGUAAGACGCUUCAAGAAUGGCCUGCGGGCUAUCAGCUAGUUGGUAGGGUAAUGGCCUACCAAGGCUAUGACGGCUAGGGGGGGUGAGAGCCCGAUCCCCACCAAUGGUACUGCGACACGGACCAUACACCUACGGGUGGCAGCAGCCGAGAAUAUUCGACAAUGGG